GAUGAACGCUGGCGGCGUGCCUAAUACAUGCAAGUCGAACGCACAGCGAAAGGUGCUUGCACCUUUCAAGUGAGUGGCGAACGGGUGAGUAACACGUGGAUAACCUACCUCAAGGUUGGGGAUAACAUUUGGAAACAGAUGCUAAUACCGAAUAAAACUUCGUAUCGCAUGAUACAAGGUUAAAAGGCGCUACGGCGUCACCUAGAGAUGGAUCCGCGGUGCAUUAGUUAGUUGGUGGGUAAAGGCCUACCAAGACAAUGAUGCAUAGCCGAGUUGAGAGACUGAUCGGCCACAUUGGGACUGAGACACGGCCAAACUCCUACGGGAGGCUGCAGUAGGGAAUCUUCCACAAUGGGCGAAAGCCUGAUGGAGCAACGCGCGU
This 382-nucleotide ribosomal RNA is filed under the name uncultured bacterium. RNAcentral's name for it is "bacterial SSU rRNA". It matches the Rfam family "Bacterial small subunit ribosomal RNA", at positions 28 to 402 of the family's 1533-position model. The record is from RNAcentral.